This 1178-nucleotide long non-coding RNA is filed under the name Eptatretus burgeri (inshore hagfish). RNAcentral describes it as "lncRNA (ENSEBUG00000017150.1)". Lineage: Eukaryota; Metazoa; Chordata; Myxini; Myxiniformes; Myxinidae. The record is from RNAcentral.
GCAUUUAAGGAUCGUACUUCCGGUGUGUCAACACGUGCCUGAGUGAUUUGUUUUUUUGGGGGGAUGUUCGUUCCGCUGAGAUAGUUGGUUGGACCGGCAGGGAGAGAUCGGUGUGUUUGUGGCUCCCCCCACCCCCCUCCCCCGUCAACCCUCUCCACCUCCAUAACCUCUUGUGAUUUCAGUGCCGAGGAUCAUGAAGCGAGACCUCACGACCAACGUCCACGAUCCUCGGUCCUCGGACUCCAAGACUGCGGGCUCUGAUGGAGGGGACAGAGGGGGUCCAGGAGCAGGAGGGGAUGGUGGGAUCUGCGGGUUCAGGAUCCUGGACGUUCAGAGCCUUCUUGAUGGAGGGGACGGGACGGACCGGGGACCAGAUGCUAUAGUGGUGGUGAAGGUGGAACCUGAACCGACAGGUGGUUUUCCCUCGCAAGAUUUUAAUUUGGAGGUGAAGGUGAAACCUGAACUUGUGGAUAAUAGUCCCUUACAAGACUUUAAUGGGGACGUGAAGGUGAAAACUGAACCUUUGGACAAUUGUUCAUCACAAGAUUUUAUUGGAGAUGUGGAGGUGAAACCUGAACUUGUGGAUCAUCAUUCUUCACAAGGCAAGUGCAGAACUACAUCCUAAUUGUUUGUUUCAGGUGUUAAUUUGUUCUGAAGGUAGAAUAUUCAACCAUUUGUGUGUACACCUUGUCAAAAGUAAAUUUCCUUGAGGUGUCGUGGCACAAUUUCACAUGCACACACAAGUGCACACACCUGAUAUAAAAGCUUAGAGGAUGUGUACUUGUAUUUGAAGUGUCUAUCCUGAGUAUUUAUCCACAUUCAUUUAAGGCCUCGUAAAUGCUUCAGAAGAGGAAUAUCCUGACUUUGAAAGAACCUGACUUUGCUGUUCUUUAUAUAGUGCUCUACAAACAGUGACACAUUCUUGUUUCCUUCACCAUUGAAGAUGGAUGGAGGUUAUGUUUUCAUCCGCUGUCUGUCUGUCCGUUUGUCUGCCUGUGAGCAGGAUAUCUCAAAAAGUUAUCGACAGAUUCGGAUUAAACUUGUUGGACAGGUUGGGUGUUUGACAAGGAAGGAUUCAUUCAAAUUAUGGUGAAGAUUCGGAUAUGAGAAUUUUGAUUUAUUUACUUAUGUGAUUGAAUCUUCACCAUCGAAAGAUCGGGCCAAAAGCGAAAUAGAGC